CCUACGGGAGGCAGCAGUGAGGAGUAUUGGUCAAUGGACGAGAGUCUGAACCAGCCAAGUAGCGUGAAGGAUGACUGCCCUAUGGGUUGUAAACUUCUUUUAUAUGGGAAUAAAACGUUCCACGUGUGGGAUUUUGUAUGUACCAUAUGAAUAAGGAUCGGCUAACUCCGUGCCAGCAGCCGCGGUAAUACGGAGGAUCCGAGCGUUAUCCGGAUUUAUUGGGUUUAAAGGGAGCGUAGGUGGAUUGUUAAGUCAGUUGUGAAAGUUUGCGGCUCAACCGUAAAAUUGCAGUUGAAACUGGCAGUCUUGAGUACAGUAGAGGUGGGCGGAAUUCGUGGUGUAGCGGUGAAAUGCUUAGAUAUCACGAAGAACUCCGAUUGCGAAGGCAGUUCACUGGACUGCAACUGACACUGAGGCUCGAAAGUGUGGGUAUCAAACAGGAUUAGAUACCCCAGUAGUC
Molecule: ribosomal RNA, 460 nt
Filed under: uncultured bacterium
Lineage: Bacteria
Description: partial 16S ribosomal RNA
Rfam family: Bacterial small subunit ribosomal RNA
Source: RNAcentral